This 571-nucleotide ribosomal RNA is filed under the name Streptomyces prasinus. RNAcentral describes it as "bacterial SSU rRNA". It matches the Rfam family "Bacterial small subunit ribosomal RNA", at positions 410 to 991 of the family's 1533-position model. Lineage: Bacteria; Bacillati; Actinomycetota; Actinomycetes; Kitasatosporales; Streptomycetaceae. The record is from RNAcentral.
GACGGCCUUCGGGUUGUAAACCUCUUUCAGCAGGGAAGAAGCGCAAGUGACGGUACCUGCAGAAGAAGCGCCGGCUAACUACGUGCCAGCAGCCGCGGUAAUACGUAGGGCGCGAGCGUUGUCCGGAAUUAUUGGGCGUAAAGAGCUCGUAGGCGGCCUGUCGCGUCAAUUGUGAAAGCCCGGGGCUUAACCCCGGGUCUGCAGUCGAUACGGGCAGGCUAGAGUGUGGUAGGGGAGAUCGGAAUUCCUGGUGUAGCGGUGAAAUGCGCAGAUAUCAGGAGGAACACCGGUGGCGAAGGCGGAUCUCUGGGCCAUUACUGACGCUGAGGAGCGAAAGCGUGGGGAGCGAACAGGAUUAGAUACCCUGGUAGUCCACGCCGUAAACGGUGGGCACUAGGUGUUGGCGACAUUCCACGUCGUCGGUGCCGCAGCUAACGCAUUAAGUGCCCCGCCUGGGGAGUACGGCCGCAAGGCUAAAACUCAAAGGAAUUGACGGGGGCCCGCACAAGCAGCGGAGCAUGUGGCUUAAUUCGACGCAACGCGAAGAACCUUACCAAGGCUUGACAUACAC